AUGGAGACGGGCAUCGGAUCCGUGGACGGGCCCAAGGGGGCGCCGAGCUGCGCGGUGGGGUGCCCGGCGACGUUCCCGGCGUCGUCGCCCACCUUCGUCGGCUCCCCGGAGGCCACGCUGGGGCGCCACCUUGCGCGGCGCCUGGUGCAGGUCGGCGUGGGCGACGUGUUCGCCGUGCCGGGCGACUUCAACCUGACCCUCCUCGACUACCUCGUCGCCGAGCCCGGGCUGCGCCUCGUCGGCUGCUGCAACGAGCUCAACGCCGGCUACGCCGCCGACGGUUACGCGCGCGCUAAGGGCGUCGGUGCGUGCGCCGUCACCUUCACCGUUGGCGGGCUCAGCGUGCUCAACGCCAUCGCCGGCGCGUACAGCGAGAACCUCCCCUUGAUCUGCAUCGUCGGCGGGCCCAACUCCAACGACUACGGAACUAACCGGGUUCUUCAUCACACCAUCGGCCUCCCCGAUUUCUCUCAGGAGCUGCGGUGCUUCACGCCGGCAGCGUGCUACCAGGCCGUCGUCAACAGCCUCGACGACGCCCACGAGCAGAUCGACAAGGCUAUCUCCACGGCUCUCAAGGAGAGCAAGCCGGUCUACAUCAGCGUCAGCUGCAACCUCCCCAGCGUCCCCCACCCCACCUUCAGCCGCGACCCCGCCCCCUACUUCCUCGCACCAAGGAUGAGCAACCAGAUGGGCCUGGAGGCGGCGGUUGAGGCGACGGUGGCCUUCCUGGACAAGGCGGUGAAGCCGGUGAUGGUGGCGGGGCCCAAGCUGCGGGUGGCCAAGGCGGGCGCGGCGUUCGCCGAGCUGGCGGACGCGAGCGGCUACGCCGUGGCAACCAUGCCGUCGGCCAAGGGGCUGGUGGCGGAGACGCUGCCGCGCUUCAUCGGCACCUACUGGGGCGCGGUGAGCACGGCCUUCUGCGCCGAGAUCGUCGAGUCGGCGGACGCCUACCUCUUCGCCGGCCCCAUCUUCAACGACUACAGCUCCGUGGGCUACUCGUUCCUGCUCAAGAAGGAGAAGGCGGUGAUCGUGCAGCCGGACCGCGUCACCGUCGGCAACGGCCCGGCCUUCGGCUGCAUCAUGAUGAAGGACUUCCUGGCGGAGCUGGGCAAGCGCCUCAAGAAGAACACCACCGCCUACGAGAACUACAAGAGGAUCUGGGUGCCCGAGGGGCAGCCGCCGGAGAGCGAGCCCGGAGAGCCGCUGCGCGUCAACGUGCUAUUCAAGCACAUCCAAAAGAUGCUCACUGGCGACAGCGCCGUCAUCGCCGAGACCGGCGACUCGUGGUUCAACUGCCAGAAGCUCAAGCUCCCCGACGGCUGCGGGUACGAGUUCCAGAUGCAGUACGGCUCCAUCGGGUGGUCCGUCGGGGCGCUGCUCGGGUACGCGCAGGGCGCCACCGACAAGCGCGUCAUCGCCUGUAUCGGCGACGGCAGCUUCCAGGUGACGGCGCAGGACGUGUCCACCAUGCUCCGCUGCGGCCAGAACAGCAUCAUCUUCCUCAUCAACAACGGCGGCUACACCAUCGAGGUCGAGAUCCACGACGGGCCAUACAACGUCAUCAAGAACUGGAACUACACCGGCCUCGUCGACGCCAUCCACAACGGCGACGGCAACUGCUGGACCGCAAAGGUCACAUGCGAGGAGGAGCUGACGGCGGCCAUCGAGACGGCGACCGGGGACAAGAAGGACUGCCUCUGCUUCAUCGAGGUGGUGGCGCACAAGGACGACACCAGCAAGGAGCUCCUCGAGUGGGGAUCCAGGGUCUCCGCCGCCAAUUCCAGGCCACCCAACCCGCAGUAG
RNAcentral lists this ribosomal RNA (1803 nucleotides) under Triticum aestivum (bread wheat). Its description in RNAcentral is "partial small subunit ribosomal RNA". Lineage: Eukaryota; Viridiplantae; Streptophyta; Magnoliopsida; Poales; Poaceae. The record is from RNAcentral.